Orcinus orca (killer whale) is the source of this 744-nucleotide long non-coding RNA. RefSeq lists it as uncharacterized. The record is from RefSeq and is a predicted model, not a curated record. NCBI's taxonomy places the organism in Eukaryota, Metazoa, Chordata, Mammalia, Artiodactyla, Delphinidae. The transcript is spliced from 3 exons.
CCUGCCCCAGUCAAGCCCUCAGAUGAUCCCCCGGCCCCAGUCAAGCCCUCAGAUGAUCCUUCGGCCCCAGCUGACAUCCUGGCUUCAACCUCACAAGAGACCCUGAGCCAGAACCACCCAGCUAAACUGCUCCUAGACACCUGAUCCACAAAAACCUUACACUUUGAUACACAGAAGGUGACCUGUCGCCUUCUCUACCUGCCCUCCUGUCAUGCCAGCUGGUCCAUCCCAAUGGGGAGAGUGGCUGGCACCACUGGGACUUUCCUCUCCAGCACGGAACAGAUUCUUCCUCUCAGCCUGCCAGAGAAACCAGCCCCACUGACACCUUGAUCUUGGACUUCCGGCCUCCAGAACCGAAGGUUUCCCCUGCUUGUGGCAGACACCAGAGAGUCACCACCCGGGAUGCAGGGAUGUGAAAAAGGACACAGGCAGAAAGACACGGGACUCCCAACCUGAGCUUCCUCAAGUGCCUUCACUUCCAUUGCUGUUCUUGCUUGAUGGGAAGUUGUGCCAGUGUGGUAAGAACCUUCGUUCCUCCCCGACACUUUACAAAAGCGCUGCUAACCCCCCUGCCUGACAGUCAAGACCUCCUACCUUCUCUAUUUGUCAGCCUUCCUUUCCUCUCCUUGCCAACAAGGGCAACACCUCUGACUAUCCCGGCACCCAGAGCUGCAUUCACUGUGAUUGAAGUUUCAUGAUUUUUUUUAUUUAUUUGGCGUACGCAGGCCUCUCACUGCUGUGGCC